UACAGAGGUCCCAAGCGUUGUUCGGAUUCACUGGGCGUAAAGGGUGCGUAGGUGGCGGGGUAAGUCGGAUGUGAAAUCUCCGAGCUCAACUCGGAAAUGGCAUUGGAAACUACCUUGCUCGAGGGUUGGAGGGGGGACUGGAAUACUUGGUGUAGCAGUGAAAUGCGUAGAUAUCAAGUGGAACACCAGUGGCGAAGGCGAGUCCCUGGACAACUCCUGACACUGAGGCACGAAAGCUGGGGGAGCAAACAGG
RNAcentral lists this ribosomal RNA (253 nucleotides) under uncultured bacterium. RNAcentral describes it as "partial 16S ribosomal RNA". It matches the Rfam family "Bacterial small subunit ribosomal RNA", at positions 524 to 776 of the family's 1533-position model. The record is from RNAcentral.